This 613-nucleotide ribosomal RNA is filed under the name uncultured bacterium. Its description in RNAcentral is "bacterial SSU rRNA". It matches the Rfam family "Bacterial small subunit ribosomal RNA", at positions 338 to 951 of the family's 1533-position model. The record is from RNAcentral.
CCUACGGGAGGCAGCAGUAGGGAAUAUUGGACAAUGGACGCAAGUCUGAUCCAGCCAUCCCGCGUGAAGGAUUAAGGCCCUAUGGGUUGUAAACUUCUUUUCUUUGGGAAUAAAAAGCGGUAUUCAUAUCGCCUUGAAGGUACCAGAGGAAUAAGCACCGGCUAACUCCGUGCCAGCAGCCGCGGUAAUACGGAGGGUGCAAGCGUUAUCCGGAUUCACUGGGUUUAAAGGGUGCGUAGGUGGCUUUGUAAGUCAGCGGUGAAAGCCUGGAGCUCAACUCCAGAAUUGCCAUUGAUACUGCAGAGCUUGAAUCAAGUUGAGGUGGAUGGAAUAUUACAUGUAGCGGUGAAAUGCUUAGAUAUGUAAUAGAACACCGAUUGCGAAGGCAGUUCACUAAGCUUGUAUUGACACUGAGGCACGAAAGCGUGGGGAUCAAACAGGAUUAGAUACCCUGGUAGUCCACGCCCUAAACGAUGCAAACUCGACAUUAGCGAUAUACAGUUAGUGUCCAAGCGAAAGCGUUAAGUUUGCCACCUGGGAAGUACGACCGCAAGGUUGAAACUCAAAGGAAUUGACCGGNGNGAGAGNGCGACGACGACGACGAGGGAGGAGG